Molecule: ribosomal RNA, 507 nt
Filed under: uncultured Lachnospiraceae bacterium
Lineage: Bacteria; Bacillati; Bacillota; Clostridia; Lachnospirales; Lachnospiraceae
Description: bacterial SSU rRNA
Rfam family: Bacterial small subunit ribosomal RNA
Source: RNAcentral
AGAGUUUGAUCCUGGCUCAGGAUGAACGCUGGCGGCGUGCCUAACACAUGCAAGUCGAACGGACUUACACAGAAGCAGGAGAUGCUUGCAUUGACUAACGGAAGUGUAAGUUAGUGGCGGACGGGUGAGUAACGCGUGGGCAACCUGCCCCAUACCGGGGGAUAACACCUGGAAACAGGUGCUAAAACCGCAUAAGCGCACAGCUUCGCAUGAAGGUGUGUGAAAAACUCCGGUGGUAUGGGAUGGGCCCGCGUCUGAUUAGCUGGUUGGCGGGGUAACGGCCCACCAAGGCGACGAUCAGUAGCCGGCCUGAGAGGGUGGACGGCCACAUUGGGACUGAGACACGGCCCAAACUCCUACGGGAGGCAGCAGUGGGGAAUAUUGGACAAUGGGGGAAACCCUGAUCCAGCGACGCCGCGUGAGUGAAGAAGUAUUUCGGUACGUAAAGCUCUAUCAGCAGGAAAGAAAAUGACGGUACCUGACUAAGAAGCCCCGGCUAACUACGUG